This is a non-coding RNA of Paramuricea clavata, 65 nucleotides long. The record is from the annotation of a GenBank genome assembly. Lineage: Eukaryota; Metazoa; Cnidaria; Anthozoa; Malacalcyonacea; Plexauridae.
AACUUUUUACAAUGGAUCUCUUGUCUCGUGCAUCGAUGACUAUGCAGCUAAGCACUACAGAGAUC